UUCCUCUGAAUCUUCAGACUGCAAAAAGCAUGUAAAUAGUGGAGAAGUUAUUAUUUGUACCUUUGAUUGUAGAAGAGUUGUAACUGUCAGUAAUGGAAUGUGGAUUUCAAAUGCAACUGUGCAAGUCAUGAAAUGAAAAGUCUAUCUGAAGCUAUUAGGAAAAGACAUUGUGGAACAUGGAACCAUGUUGAGCAACACCAGAGUUUGAGGGGGGAAGCUGUGCACUGGUGAUCCAAAGUAUGAGAGGGAAUCCAUACAGCCUUUGCGUAGGACAGGACAUUGAACUCAAUGAAGAUUAUUUCUUAAAAUAAAGUUUGGUUUUGAUUUUGAGAGGAAGGUAUUUCUGGAGUUGCCAAGAUUUGCACUGGAGCCUCAACUUACUCUGGAUCUACAUACAAGUACCUAUAAGGUGUGGUAGUGGUAGAUUCAUAGCAACAUCCUUCAGUAGAGAAUUACCAGUACCUCUGACCAUGGUAACCACUGCUUUUCCCUUGUCAAGCCACAAGAGCUUCAUUCUGUGAACUAGUAAGUCACUUUUAUUUUAGUAGUACACGCACAAAGGAAAGCCUCAAUAAUAAUCUUAUGUGCUAACUUUAUGUCUUUUAAUU
Molecule: long non-coding RNA, 608 nt
Filed under: Numida meleagris (helmeted guineafowl)
Lineage: Eukaryota; Metazoa; Chordata; Aves; Galliformes; Numididae
Description: lncRNA (ENSNMEG00000014608.1)
Source: RNAcentral